UUUAGCAAUAGAGAUAGUGGCGCACGGGUGCGUAACGCGUAACCAACCUACCCGAAUCUGGGGGAUAGCCCGCCGAAAGGCGGAUUAAUACCGCAUAAAACGGCAGACCGGCAUCGGUUCACCGUUAAAGAUUUAUUGGAUUCGGAUGGGGUUGCGUGCCAUUAGCUAGUUGGCGGGGUAACGGCCCACCAAGGCGACGAUGGCUAGGGGAGCUGAGAGGCUGGUCCCCCACACGGGCACUGAGAUACGGGCCCGACUCCUACGGGAGGCAGCAGUAGGGAAUAUUGGGCAAUGGUCGAGAGACUGACCCAGCCAUGCCGCGUGCAGGAUGAAGGCUUUCUGAGUCGUAAACUGCUUUUACCAGGGAAGAAAAAAGGGGAUGCGUCCUCUACUGACGGUACCUGGUGAAUAAGCACCGGCUAACUCCGUGCCAGCAGCCGCGGUAAUACGGAGGGUGCAAGCGUUGUCCGGAUUUAUUGGGUUUAAAGGGUGCGUAGGCGGCUUUUUAAGUCCGGGGUGAAAGCCCGUUGCUCAACAACGGAACUGCCCCGGAAACUGGAGAGCUUGAGUACAGACGAGGGUGGCGGAAUGGACGGUGUAGCGGUGAAAUGCAUAGAUACCGUCCAGAACCCCGAUUGCGAAGGCAGCUGCCUAGACUGUAAC
RNAcentral lists this ribosomal RNA (663 nucleotides) under uncultured bacterium. RNAcentral describes it as "bacterial SSU rRNA". It matches the Rfam family "Bacterial small subunit ribosomal RNA", at positions 79 to 740 of the family's 1533-position model. The record is from RNAcentral.